Molecule: unclassified non-coding RNA, 362 nt
Filed under: uncultured bacterium
Lineage: Bacteria
Description: contains 16S-23S intergenic spacer region
Source: RNAcentral
UCCCCGUUGCCGGGGCAGUCUGACUAGAAAAAUACAACUAGCCAUAAGGGUUGCGCUCGUUGCGGGACUUAACCCAACAUCUCACGACACGAGCUGAAGACGGCCAUGCAUCACCUGUCACCACGUUCCCGAAGGCACAAUCUCCUUUCGGAGAUCUUCGUGGGAUGUCAAGUCCAGGUAAGGUUCUUCGAUUACCAUCGAAUUAAAGAACACGCUCCACCGCUUGUGCGGGUCCCCGUCAAUUCCUUUGAGUUUUAAUCUUGCGACCGUACUCCCCAGGCGGGAUGCUUAACGCGUUAGCUUCGCUACUGAACGGGUCGAGCGCCCAACAGCUAGCAUCCAUAGUUUACGGCGUGGACUAC